CUGCAGUAGGGAAUAUUGCACAAUGGGCGAAAGCCUGAUGCAGCAACGCCGCGUGCGCGAUGAAGGCCUUCGGGUCGUAAAGCGCUUUUCGGGGAGAUGAGGAAGGACAGUACUCCCCGGAAUAAGUACCCGCUAACCCUCGUGCCAGCAGCCGCGGUAAGACGUAGGUGGCGAGCGUUAUCCGGAUUUACUGGGCGUAAAGCGCGUGCAGGCGGUUCGGUAAGUCGGGCGUGAAAUCUCCUGGCUCAACUGGGAGGGGCCGUCCGAAACUACCGGACUUGAGGGCAGUAGAGGGAGGUGGAAUUCCGGGUGUAGUGGUGAAAUGCGUAGAUAUCCGGAGGAACACCGGUGGCGAAAGCGGCCUCCUGGGCUGCCCCUGACGCUCAGACGCGAAAGCUAGGGGAGCGAACGGGAUUAGAAACCCCGGUAGUCCUAGCCAUAAACGAUGCUAACUAGGUGUCGGCGGAACUAAACCCUGCCGGUGCCGAAGCUAACGCGAUAAGUUAGCCGCCGUGGGACUACGGCCGCAAAGGUU
RNAcentral lists this ribosomal RNA (535 nucleotides) under uncultured Chloroflexota bacterium. RNAcentral's name for it is "bacterial SSU rRNA". It matches the Rfam family "Bacterial small subunit ribosomal RNA", at positions 349 to 895 of the family's 1533-position model. Lineage: Bacteria; Bacillati; Chloroflexota. The record is from RNAcentral.